Molecule: ribosomal RNA, 369 nt
Filed under: uncultured Psychrobacter sp.
Lineage: Bacteria; Pseudomonadati; Pseudomonadota; Gammaproteobacteria; Moraxellales; Moraxellaceae
Description: bacterial SSU rRNA
Rfam family: Bacterial small subunit ribosomal RNA
Source: RNAcentral
CUCUAUGGUUAAUACCCAUAGACGAUGACAUUAGCUGCAGAAUAAGCACCGGCUAACUCUGUGCCAGCAGCCGCGGUAAUACAGAGGGUGCAAGCGUUAAUCGGAAUUACUGGGCGUAAAGCGAGCGUAGGUGGCUUGAUAAGUCAGAUGUGAAAUCCCCGGGCUUAACCUGGGAACUGCAUCUGAUACUGUUAAGCUAGAGUAGGUGAGAGGGAAGUAGAAUUUCAGGUGUAGCGGUGAAGUGCGUAGAGAUCUGAAGGAAUACCGAUGGCGAAGGCAGCUUCCUGGCAUCAUACUGACACUGAGGCUCGAAAGCGUGGGUAGCAAACAGGAUUAGAUACCCUGGUAGUCCACGCCGUAAACGAUGUC